Molecule: ribosomal RNA, 289 nt
Filed under: uncultured Pedobacter sp.
Lineage: Bacteria; Pseudomonadati; Bacteroidota; Sphingobacteriia; Sphingobacteriales; Sphingobacteriaceae
Description: partial 16S ribosomal RNA
Source: RNAcentral
CUACUCGGGUUUCUAAUCCUGUUCGAUCCCCACGCUUUCGUGCCUCAGCGUCAAUCAGACCAUAGUAAGCUGCCUUCGCAAUCGGUGUUCUGAGACAUAUCUAUGCAUUUCACCGCUACUUGUCUCAUUCCGCCUACCUCUAGUCCAUUCAAGCCCAUCAGUAUCAAGGGCACUGCGAUAGUUGAGCUACCGUCUUUCACCCCUGACUUAACAGGCCGCCUACGCACCCUUUAAACCCAAUAAAUCCGGAUAACGCUUGGAUCCUCCGUAUUACCGCGGCUGCUGGCAC